AUUGGAUCCGUGUCGAAACGCGUGUGAUAAAAUGUCCGAUCGACUCGCGGUCGGCAGGCUUGUCACCAUUUAACGGGAGCUCGAAAACCCGGCCGCGAUCCCGGAAUCGGAGGGAAAAAAUGAACGAAACGGAAGGAAAUACGGAACGAAACGAAAACGAAUUUAACUAUCCACGGGCCGUCGUUCGGGCCGGAGCGGGAAACUCCGGGAAACUCGUCUUUUUCUCGUGAAAAAAAAAAAAAAGAAAAAGGUGGUGGAGAGAUUAAAAGUUGCCGCGAACCUAUUACCCUCUGAUACGUAUCCGCCAUUAACGUUUUUAAUCCUCGAUUCUGGUCUCGUAUGAAAUCCUCGAAGGGGAAACUUUUAACCGUUCCCUUUGACCGUUGGUUCGCGAAUAGGAGACGAGAGUAUUUGGCGAUGGAUCGUGAAGAUUCGGAGG
Molecule: long non-coding RNA, 439 nt
Organism: Apis dorsata (giant honeybee)
Lineage: Eukaryota; Metazoa; Arthropoda; Insecta; Hymenoptera; Apidae
Exons: 2
Source: RefSeq, a predicted model, not a curated record